Long non-coding RNA from Austrofundulus limnaeus, 1509 nucleotides. RefSeq lists it as uncharacterized. Lineage: Eukaryota; Metazoa; Chordata; Actinopteri; Cyprinodontiformes; Rivulidae. The transcript has 2 exons. The record is from RefSeq and is a predicted model, not a curated record.
GAUGAUGACACACGUGAUGGUAUAUCCUGCAGCAGUGGCAGCUACACCUGUGACUGGGACAGGCUCACUUAUGUGUCACUGACUGUUUUCAACGUGUCUAAAAAUGAGAAUUACACAGUUGGGCUGUCGUCAAACUGUGGGAUGGAUUCUUCUGCUCCUAUCACAGUACAACUGGACGAGACUGUGCUGCUGCAGGAGCUCAGCACCAAUAAGACCCAGCAAAGAGACGAGACCCCCUCACACAGCACACCCGUUGUGCUUGCUGUCCUCGCUGCAGCCACUGCUGCAGCUGCUCUGGGUUUUCUUUAUAAAUACUGCAGGAGUAAAGAGAAGGGAUGUAAUAAAACCCCACAUAAUUCAUGUGCCUAUGUGUAGAAACUUCAAUCUAACAUUAACUUGUUGUAAWAAUGUAUUUGGCCUGAGUGAUUGUGGUUCAGGUGGUUUGUGUAGCUGAAGAACACAACAUCAACUACAUGAGUGUUGUGAAACAAGACAUUCCUGCUGCUGAAUAUUAAUGUAAAUAAAUGUACAGAUUAUUUAUUGACAGUGUGUCCUGGAGCUUUACAUUUUGUCUGAUCUGCAGGAGUUCUCMGUCUGAAAUGAUUUGUUUUUGUUGGUUUGAUAAAAGGAUAAUAUAAUGGAAAAAACAUAUUAUCUGUUAACUGACGUUAAGUUCUGGUUAAAGUUCUCUCUGGCCUCAUUAACAGGAGGGCGAGUCUUCACAGUUGUUUUUAUAAAAACUGUAGUUUUCUUUUUCAUUUUCAGAACAUUAAGCUGGGCAGAGCAGGAGCAUUGAUUUUCUGUCAAAACUUUAGAAAUAAUAAAACACUGAAGUGUAAACCUGAUCUCUUUAAGAGUUAUUUUUCACUACAAUAAGCUCACAAAGCCAGACGUCUUAUGGAAAUGUCACUUCUGUUUUUGUGUUUGUUUUGAUUUUGUAAUAAAUGUGCAUGUCAUGGUCUGUCAUUUCAUGCCUUAGUGUUUCAGUGUUUCCCCUGUGUUCUCUGAUUGAUGCCCCGCCCACACUCACCUGCUUGCCCUUGUGUUCCCCAGGUGUUUCUUGUUUGUAAUCAUGAGUUUCCCUUUAUAUUCAGUGUCUUGUGAUCUUGUCUUUGUUGGAUCACUGUGCUGUCGACCUUGAUCAUGUCCUGUUCCUGGUAAAACCUUGACAAACUGAGUUUUUCAGCUGCACUGUCAGCUUUUAUGAUUUAUAUUAAAGACCUUGCUUUUUGCUUUUUGCCUUUUUCUUUUUGAACCUGGCUGCACGCUGGGUUUUUGUCUCCAGUUCAUGACAGUGCAGAAUUUGUUUAAACUUGUGUUUGUACUUUGUCAUUAAGAUGCACUCAGCCCUGAAAAAAGAUUAAACGAGUGUAUCAUCAGGACAGGCUGUUACAUAAAGAAUAUUUUAAAAAGUGAAUCAUUGUGGAGACUUUCUGAAGUCAGUGACAUUUUGUGUUUCUUGUUUCUUAAAUUUUAGAAGAUGAAUGUUAUAACACAAAAACUAGUAUC